CGCCUCUUGAUACAUUUAUAAGAGGUCAAGCCUGCCCGGUGACAAAGUUUAACGGCCGCGGUAUCCUGACCGUGCAAAGGUAGCGCAAUCACUUGUCUCCUAAAUAGGGACUAGUAUGAAUGGCAUCACGAAGACUAUACUGUCUCCCUCUCACCACCAGUGAAACUGAUCUUCCCAUGAAAAAGUGGGAAUACCCUUAUAAGACGAGAAGACCCCAUGGAGCUUUAAACUAGUAUUAUCUAUUUAACCUCAAAUCCCAAUAGCGCAACUAAUUAUAAUUACUAGUUUUCGGUUGGGGCAACCACGGAGUAAAGUAAAACCUCCGCGAUGUAUAGACCUUAUAUCUUUAUUUAAGAACUACACCUCUAAAAAUCAAUAUAUUGACAUAAAUUGACCUAUUAAGUUCAACGAACCAAGUUACCCUGGGGAUAACAGCGCAAUCCAUUUCAA
Molecule: ribosomal RNA, 450 nt
Filed under: Scotobleps gabonicus
Lineage: Eukaryota; Metazoa; Chordata; Amphibia; Anura; Arthroleptidae
Description: partial 16S ribosomal RNA
Rfam family: Bacterial large subunit ribosomal RNA
Source: RNAcentral